RNAcentral lists this ribosomal RNA (303 nucleotides) under uncultured bacterium. Its description in RNAcentral is "partial 16S ribosomal RNA". It matches the Rfam family "Bacterial small subunit ribosomal RNA", at positions 507 to 809 of the family's 1533-position model. The record is from RNAcentral.
AGCAGCAGCCGCGGUAAUACGGAGGGUGCAAGCGUUAAUCGGAAUUACUGGGCGUAAAGCGCACGCAGGCGGUCUGACAAGUCAGAUGUGAAAUCCCCGGGCUUAACCUGGGAACUGCAUUUGAAACUGUCAGGCUGGAGUCUUGUAGAGGGGGGUGGAAUUCCAGGUGUAGCGGUGAAAUGCGUAGAGAUCUGGAGGAAUACCGGUGGCGAAGGCGGCCCCCUGGACAAAGACUGACGCUCAGGUGCGAAAGCGUGGGGAGCAAACAGGAUUAGAUACCCGUGUAGUCCCUGUCUCUUAUAU